UACGAGGGGGGCAAGCGUUGUUCGGAAUUAUUGGGCGUAAAGGGCGCGUAGGCGGUGCGGUAAGUCUGAUGUGAAAUCUCCGGGCUCAACUGGGAGCUUGCAGGCGAAACUGCCGUGCUGGAGUGUGGGAGAGGUGCGUGGAAUUCCUGGUGUAGCGGUGAAAUGCGUAGAUAUCAGGAGGAACACCUGUGGCGAAAGCGGCGCACUGGACCACAACUGACGCUGAGGCGCGAAAGCUAGGGGAGCAAACAGG
This 253-nucleotide ribosomal RNA is filed under the name uncultured bacterium. RNAcentral describes it as "partial 16S ribosomal RNA". It matches the Rfam family "Bacterial small subunit ribosomal RNA", at positions 524 to 776 of the family's 1533-position model. The record is from RNAcentral.